GUGGGGAAUAUUGGACAAUGGGCGCAAGCCUGAUCCAGCCAUACCGCGUGGGUGAAGAAGGCCUUCGGGUUGUAAAGCCCUUUUGUUGGGAAAGAAAUCCUGUCGGUUAAUACCUGGCGGGGAUGACGGUACCCAAAGAAUAAGCACCGGCUAACUUCGUGCCAGUAGCCGCGGUAAUACGAAGGGUGCAAGCGUUACUCGGAAUUACUGGGCGUAAAGCGUGCGUAGGUGGUGGUUUAAGUCCGUUGUGAAAGCCCUGGGCUCAACCUGGGAAUUGAAGUGGAUACUGGAUCACUAGAGUGUGGUAGAGGGAUGCGGAAUUUCUGGUGUAGCAGUGAAAUGCGUAGAGAUCAGAAGGAACAUCCGUGGCGAAGGCGGCAUCCUGGGCCAACACUGACACUGAGGCACGAAAGCGUGGGGAGCAAACAGGAUUAGAAACCCGAGUAGUCC
RNAcentral lists this ribosomal RNA (450 nucleotides) under uncultured bacterium. Its description in RNAcentral is "partial 16S ribosomal RNA". It matches the Rfam family "Bacterial small subunit ribosomal RNA", at positions 354 to 796 of the family's 1533-position model. The record is from RNAcentral.